GUGCUCGCUUCAGCAGCACAUAUACUAAAAUUGGAAUGAUACAGAGAAGAUUAGCAUGGCCCCUGAGCACGGAUGACACGCAAAUUCCUGAAGCGUUCCAUAAAAAA
RNAcentral lists this small nuclear RNA (107 nucleotides) under Propithecus coquereli (Coquerel's sifaka). The record is from RNAcentral. Lineage: Eukaryota; Metazoa; Chordata; Mammalia; Primates; Indriidae.